RNAcentral lists this ribosomal RNA (496 nucleotides) under uncultured bacterium. Its description in RNAcentral is "partial 16S ribosomal RNA". It matches the Rfam family "Bacterial small subunit ribosomal RNA", at positions 29 to 507 of the family's 1533-position model. The record is from RNAcentral.
AUGAACGCUGGCGGCGUGCCUAAUACAUGCCAGUCGAGCGAACAGACGAGGAGCUUGCUCCUCUGACGUUAGCGGCGGACGGGUGAGUAACACGUGGAUAACCUACCUAUAAGACUGGGAUAACUUCGGGAAACCGGAGCUAAUACCGGAUAAUAUAUUGAACCGCAUGGUUCAAUAGUGAAAGACGGUUUUGCUGUCACUUAUAGAUGGAUCCGCGCCGCAUUAGCUAGUUGGUAAGGUAACGGCUUACCAAGGCAACGAUGCGUAGCCGACCUGAGAGGGUGAUCGGCCACACUGGAACUGAGACACGGUCCAGACUCCUACGGGAGGCAGCAGUAGGGAAUCUUCCGCAAUGGGCGAAAGCUUGACGGAGCAACGCCGCGUGAGUGAUGAAGGUCUUCGGAUCGUAAAACUCUGUUAUUAGGGAAGAACAAAUGUGUAAGUAACUAUGCACGUCUUGACGGUACCUAAUCAGAAAGCCACGGCUAACUAUGUG